GAUGAAGAACGUAGCGAAAUGCGAUAAGUAAUGUGAAUUGCAGAAUUCAGUGAAUCAUCGAGUCUUUGAACGCACAUUGCGCCCGCUGGUAUUCCGGGGGGCAUGCCUGUCCGAGCGUCAUUGCUGCCCUCAAGCACGGCUUGUGUGUUGGGCCGUCGUCCCCCUCCUAGGGGACGGGCCCGAAAGGCAGCGGCGGCACCGCGUCCGGUCCUCGAGCGUAUGGGGCUUCGUCACCCGCUCCGUAGGCCCGGCCGGCGCUUGCCGACGACCAUCAAUCUCUUUCUCCAGGUUGACCUCGGAUCAGGUAGGGAUACCCGCUGAACUUAAGCAUAUCAAUAAGCGGAGGA
Molecule: unclassified non-coding RNA, 347 nt
Filed under: soil metagenome
Description: partial contains 5.8S ribosomal RNA, internal transcribed spacer 2, and large subunit ribosomal RNA
Rfam family: 5.8S ribosomal RNA (bases 1-120)
Source: RNAcentral